UGUGGGCAAAAAAAAAAAAAAGAAAAAAAAAGUGGAAAUCUGACUUACAUGAGGGUUUUCCCACUGUUUAGAGUGUGGUGCUGUGCUGCUCUGCAAAGUGCUUGCAGGUACCCACAUCCAUCCCACAUCCACAGCACUGGGGAGCAUUAGCUUUAAAACAAAAAAAGUGUACACAAUGUGGAACCUUGUACAAUCUCCUUGUGGUAGAAACAGAAGGUUGCAAAAUACAAACAUACCAAAUGCAAAAUCAGUUAUUAAAAUGGCCUCCCCAAUGGGAAGGGUGACCUGCUCUCUCUAGUUCAAAGCAGCAUUUCUCUCAGCACAGUGGCUGCCACCGUCUUGAAUUGGUCUUACCUUUUCCAGGGUUGCCCUCCAGUCUGUUCUUCACACCACAGCCAGAGUAAUAUGUCUCUAUAAGGUCUCUAGCAUUUAAAGAAAAUGGUGGUAUAAUAUUCAUGACAUAAAAUUGACCAUUUUAACCCCUUUUAAGUGUACAAUUCAGCGGCCUUAAGUACAUUCUCAUUGUUCUGCAGUCAUCACACCAUCCAUCUCCAGAACUGUUUCAUCCUCCCAGACCACAAUUCUGUACCUCUCCCUGCUGCCUCCCGCCCUGGGUAACCAUCAUUCUGCUUUCUGUCUCUAUGAACUUGACUGUUCCAGGUCCCUCACAGAAGUGGAGCUUUGCAACAUUUGUCCUUUUGUGCGUGGUUUAAUUUCAUUUAGCAUAAUGAGUUCAAGGUUCAUCCACAGGGUAUCAUGUGUGAUUUCCUUCCUUUCUGAAGCCAAAUAACAUUCCAUUUUUUUAUUUUUUAUUAUUAUUUUCUUUUUAGGGCUGCAUCCAUGGCAUAUAGAGGUUUCCAGGCUAGGAGUUGAAUCGGAGCCGUAGCUCUUGGUCUACACCACAGCCACAGCAACUUGGGAUCUGAGCUGUGUCUGCGACCUAAACCACAGCUCACAGCAACGCCGGAUCCUUAACCCACUGAGCAAGGCCAGGGAGCGAACCCGCAUCCUCAUGAGUGCUAGUCAGAUUUGUUAACUCCUGAGCCACGAUGGGAACUCCGUUUUGUAGUUUUUAAUUAAAUAUUUUUAAAUGAUACUGAUUCUAAUGGUUGUACAGAAUGAUAUUCUGAAAAUCCUUCCUUUCGAUUGCUCCCUACCACCUGCCUCGGGCCUGAACAUCUCCGGCCCCUGCUUAUUUUUCUAAUCUCAUCCUGGGCUUUCCCACUUGCCUUGCCAGGACAUGCAAACCUCUUCCCUCUCUCAGAAAUUUUACAUUGUUCUUCCCUCUGCCAGACCUGCCAACUUCUUCAUUUGUGAGAAUGGCUGCUUAUUAGUCUUUGGAUUUCUACCUCCAUAGGGUCCUUAACCAUUCUUUGUUAAGGAUGUCUCUCCUUUUUUUUGUCCUCCAGCACCUUGUUCUUUCCUGUCUAGCAUUUAUCACCAUCUGUAACGAUUUCAUGUCUUGGCUUGUUUCCUGCCAUUAUUCAGUAAAAUGUAAGUUCAAUGAGGCAAACCCAGUGGCUCUCUUUACUGUUGCUUCCCCAGAGCCUAGUAGGCUCCUAAGAAGGGCCCAGCAGAGAGUUAGUAAUCAAAUUGCAAAAUGGUCAUGGAAAUUCCUCAUAUAUUUGUAGCUUUUUCUUUCUACAAAUGAAGCACAUGUUCAGUUUCUCGAAUUUGUCAAUCAAAAGCCUUCAGAGACUAAAUUAUUGUCUAAAAUCUUGUAACGCUUUUCUUUUUUUGAACGUGUGCUUGAUAUGAACUAAAUUACAGAAUUUAAUAUUUACUAGGCUCAAAACUGCUAAACAGCUUAUAGCUAGAUUGGCUGCUUUCUAACAACUGGUGAUUAAAAUCACUUUCAUUUAAAAAAAAAAGAUCUGGUUGAUACAUCUAGAAGGCAAUAACCACCUAAUGCCAUUUAAUUUAAGCACUUUUGAUUCAUCCAGAAAGAAAAAUGUCAACCAUAAACUUUUAUUUAAAAAAUUAUACCUGUUUUUUCCCCAGUAUUCUUUAAUAAAUAAGAGAACACCAAUUUUACCAAAAUUGCCAAAUUUGCCAAAACAGGUAAUUUGAAGGGUAGGUGGGAGGGAACUUGAGAGGAUUUAAUCUCUACUAAUUUUAAUUCUGUUGUGCUCAUUUUGAGUGGGAGACUAGAAGUGCCAGCAUCAAUUAUAGGGUCUCUAAAUUAAAAGAGUAGGUAAAUCUCCUGGGAUUCAUUGAGUAAAAAUGUUUUUUCUAUGGAUUAUUUUAGAAUGAUCUAUUUGCGUAUUUACUGGUUGGUAUCUGGAUGUAGGUCAUCUUGAUUCAUUCUGCUCAACAUUUAAUGUGUCCUUUGACCUGAAAACUUCUCCCUUCUGAUCUAUUCCUAUCUUCUUUUGACAGUCUGUCUAGCAUCUAUUGUUUUACCUUUCUACAAUUUCUUUUUUCCAUUUUUUCUUUCUAUCUCUUUUGUUAUAUAUACCAUGGAGCUAUAUUCACGCUUUCUAAUUUAAUGGUUCUCCAACUCUUAUGUACCUCAGAAUCACCUGGAAGACUUAUUAAAAAUUAAUUGAUGGGGUUCCCAUUGUGGCUCAAUGGAAGCAUAUCCAACUAGUAUCCAUGAGGAUGUAGAUUCAAUCUCUGGCCUCGCUCCAUGGGUCAGGGAUCCGAUGUUGCCUGAGCUGUGGUGUAGGUCCCAGACUUGGCUCAGAUCUGGUGUGACUGCGGCUGUGGCCAGCAGCUGUAGCUCCGAUUUGACCCCUAGCCUAGGACCUUCCAAAUGCUGAGGGUGCGGCC
RNAcentral lists this long non-coding RNA (2772 nucleotides) under Sus scrofa (pig). RNAcentral describes it as "lncRNA (ENSSSCG00045001667.1)". The record is from RNAcentral. Lineage: Eukaryota; Metazoa; Chordata; Mammalia; Artiodactyla; Suidae.